GACGAACGCUGGCGGCGUGCUUAACACAUGCAAGUCGAGCGGUAAGGCCCUUUCGGGGGUACACGAGCGGCGAACGGGUGAGUAACACGUGGGUGACCUGCCCUCAGCUCUGGGAUAAGCCUGGGAAACCGGGUCUAAUACUGGAUAUGACUCCAUGACGCAUGUUGUGGGGUGGAAAGCCUUGUGCGGCUGAGGAUGGGCCCGCGGCCUAUCAGCUUGUUGGUGGGGUGANGGCCUACCAAGGCGACGACGGGUAGCCGGCCUGAGAGGGCGACCGGCCACACUGGGACUGAGACACGGCCCAGAC
This 307-nucleotide ribosomal RNA is filed under the name uncultured bacterium. RNAcentral describes it as "bacterial SSU rRNA". It matches the Rfam family "Bacterial small subunit ribosomal RNA", at positions 28 to 336 of the family's 1533-position model. The record is from RNAcentral.